Molecule: long non-coding RNA, 666 nt
Filed under: Mytilus galloprovincialis (Mediterranean mussel)
Lineage: Eukaryota; Metazoa; Mollusca; Bivalvia; Mytilida; Mytilidae
Source: RNAcentral
AUAAGGAGUUAAUGCCAUUUAAAGUCAAAUAACAAUAACUCGUAAUUUUUUGUAAUCUAACUUUCACAAAAGAAACAACUGAGACAAAUUUAACCACAAAUAAACAUUCAGGUAUUUAAUUUUAGUUUUUAUGAAUGUAUCCGAUAACUCUGUCUGCAAACCAACAUUGCAGACAUGACUAAACAUAGAAUUUAGGGGGGAACAUGCCGUUUUUUACUUGUAUCUCUGAAACUAUAGCAAAAGUAUCACGAUUGGCUUAUUUCAUGCAUCAAUUGUUUUAAAAUAAAAAUAUCAUAAGAGCCUCUAGUUUGUGUAUGUACUCCUUUGGGGUGCAUUGUGCUUUUUUGUGUGGUGGAUGUGUGUUCUGUGGUGCAUUGUGGUCCUUUGAGGUGUAUUUUAUUUUGUGGUGGAUGUGUUCUUUGUGGUGUAUUCUUCCUAUGUGGUGUAUUCUUCAUUUGGGUUGGAAGUGGUCCGUUUUGGUGCAUUAUAUCGUUUUUGCACAAGUUAUUUUCGCGAUAAUGUCAGCAUUUUCGGAUAAUUAUAAUGUUUUUUUUGCCAUAUAACGGUCAACCAAUUUGUGAUGGCGACCGUAAAAUUUACGAAGAGAUGAUUUCAACUUCACCAUUUGGAACUCUUGAUUUAGUAGCUUCCUUGUGAGCAACAAAC